RNAcentral lists this transfer RNA (85 nucleotides) under Helicosporidium sp. ex Simulium jonesi. RNAcentral's name for it is "tRNA-Ser". It matches the Rfam family "tRNA". Rfam says of the family: Transfer RNA (tRNA) molecules are approximately 80 nucleotides in length. Their secondary structure includes four short double-helical elements and three loops (D, anti-codon, and T loops). The record is from RNAcentral. Lineage: Eukaryota; Viridiplantae; Chlorophyta; Trebouxiophyceae; Chlorellales; Chlorellaceae.
GGGUAAAUGUCUGAGUGGUUUAAAGUCCCGGUCUUGAAAACCGGCAUACUGAAAAGUAUCGAAGGUUCGAAUCCUUCUUUACCCG